Molecule: ribosomal RNA, 464 nt
Filed under: Vreelandella stevensii
Lineage: Bacteria; Pseudomonadati; Pseudomonadota; Gammaproteobacteria; Oceanospirillales; Halomonadaceae
Description: partial 16S ribosomal RNA
Rfam family: Bacterial small subunit ribosomal RNA
Source: RNAcentral
CCUUCGGGGUGCAGCAGUGGGGAAUAUUGGACAAUGGGCGAAAGCCUGAUCCAGCCAUGCCGCGUGUGUGAAGAAGGCCUUCGGGUUGUAAAGCACUUUCAGUGGGGAAGAAAGCCUUGGGGCUAAUACCCUCGAGGAAGGACAUCACCCACAGAAGAAGCACCGGCUAACUCCGUGCCAGCAGCCGCGGUAAUACGGAGGGUGCGAGCGUUAAUCGGAAUUACUGGGCGUAAAGCGCGCGUAGGCGGUCUGAUAAGCCGGUUGUGAAAGCCCCGGGCUCAACCUGGGAACGGCAUCCGGAACGGUCAGGGUAGGGUGCAGGAGAGGAAGGGAGAAUUCCCGGUGUAGCGGUGAAAUGCGUAGAGAUCGGGAGGAAUACCAGUGGCGAAGGCGGCCUUCUGGACUGACACUGACGCUGAGGUGCGAAAGCGUGGGUAGCAAACAGGAUUAGAUACCCUGUAGUC